RNAcentral lists this long non-coding RNA (12940 nucleotides) under Nicotiana tabacum (common tobacco). RNAcentral's name for it is "long non-coding RNA (NTAB_LNC018713)". The record is from RNAcentral. Lineage: Eukaryota; Viridiplantae; Streptophyta; Magnoliopsida; Solanales; Solanaceae.
GUUUAAUUUCAUAUUUUAGAUAAUUUAGGAUUUUUAAUUAUUGGGAUUUUUAAUUAAAAAAAGAAGAGAAAGAGAGACUAAGGAUAUAAUAAAACAAAGAGGGAAAAAUGAUUUUUUAAAGUAGGUCUAGCACUUGGGCUGCACCCUUCAAGACCUCAGCCCAAAUACUUCCCUCUACCGGUUCAGCCAAACAAAAAUGACCCGGACCCGCCUAUUUGACCCACCCAUCUUCCCCACUAUAUAACAUCCUUAUGUUUUUUCCCCAAAAUUCGAACCCUAAAUCUGAAACCACAGAAACGGAGCCCUUGUCUAUUGUUCAUCUUCUUCCUCUUCGACACAGCCCUCAACUCGCCUGGAACUCAGGCAAGUUCACUCAAAUGGGACCCUUUCCCUCCACGUCAUUUGAUUCCCAACGAUUUUUGUCAGAGAGGAACGAAUAUUCGCUCCAAUUUUGCAUGAUUUCUAUACAAAUGGAAUAAUUUGCUAGAUGAAUGGGAGCCGUGGAUAGAUGUAAAUCGAUCCACGCCUUCUAUUUGUCCCAAAAAUCAUUCAAAAAUGUGAAGAUUUUCGGAUUUUUUGGGUAGAACCUUGGAGAUUUUUGAAGGUUAUAUAUAUGAGGUAAGUUUCUUUGCAUAAAAAAGGGGGAAGAAAAAUCAGAGAUUAAAAAAAUCUAGGAAAAAUCUUUUAGGGUUCUUGAAGUUGUCAUUUUUUGUUCAAGCCGUUUUUGUUAGUCUGUUUUCUCUUCAGUAAAACAUUAAAAAAAAAAAGAAGCAAUGGUUUGAUUUCAUUUUUCAUUCCAGUUUACUUUAUUUUUUUUUCAAGUGAAAAAAUCAAAGAAAAAUCACCCAAAAAAAGUGUUGAUUUGGGUUCAAGCUCGUCGAUUCCUGUUUUCUUGCUGAUGUUCGUUUCAAGUUUUAGGUCGUAUUUUGGUUCGAAGUCAGCUUAAUUUGUUGUAAUCGCUGAAGUUUUGUCAAUUGAAAGGUCCAAUUUCAGGUUCAUUCUUCGUCCUUUUUCUCCUAUCAUUAGAUGAUUCUAUGCAAUGAUUGCUUUCUUUGAGUUUAUGAGUAAUGUAUUUCAAGUGCUAAAAAAUGUAAAUUUUUGUGUUUCGACGAAACGAGCAAGUCUGUUUAUUCCUUUCUUGAGAUUGACCUAUUUUUUUGAGCCAAAUUUGUGACUUUCUGUAGAUGGCUCCUUAUUCUUCUGAAGUUCUUAUUGUUGCCUAGUUGUCUUGAGGUGUCCAUAUUUUCUAGUAAACUCUUGUUGUGUUUUCUGAAGAGGAACUAAAUUUUAUGUUAGAUUGUAAAUUCAAUUUAAUUUUUCUGGCCUAAUUUUCGAGUGCUGGAAGUAAAACUGUGGUGCAUAUAAUUUAAGAAGACAGAUAUAUCUUUGAAAAUAAACUGAAUGUAUAUUUUUUUUAAAUCAAGUUCAUGACUAACACACCCAUGUUGGGUGUUUUAAUCUACAUGUAUAUACAUUUAAGCACAAUCGAACUUUGUUGGACAUCUUUGUUAAUGUAAUUGGAGAAGAGAAAGAAGACUUUCUACUGCUUGAAUACUCCGAUCCCGAAUUUCUUUUGAAAGCAUAUAGUCAUUUUAGGGUAUCACUUAGUACUUUUUUUUUAAAGAAUUUCAAUUGUGUUUCAGUUAAUGCAACGUAAAUUUUGCAAGCAAAUCUCAAUUGUUAAGCCCGCAAACGUGGGCCAACAUUCAUCUAGUUGCUUCAGAAUUGCUUAAAUGUUUAGAAAUUGGACUCCUCCCUUUUAUUUGAUGUUUGAACUGUAAAAAUACAAUGUAGUGGUUGGAACACAACCUUUAAAAUGAUGUUAUCAUGCUCAUAAAUGUUAUUAGUGCACCUAAUUAUUAACCCAUGUUUAAUUAAGAGAAGGAUGUAUGCUAUUUUCUAGUUAAUACUUUGGAUUUAAUUAUUCAUGCCUUAAUUAGUAGUAUAGAGAUAUUAAUCCCAAGACAAUGGAGGCGUAUAGAAUUAGUUGAAUGCAAUUGUGGAAGUUUGGUUGUUAAUGUGAUGGUGAUACAGUUGGUUUGGUUUUGUACCAUUGUUGUCAUACUGGAAAGCGAAGAGAUGGCUUUAAUUUUGGAAGAAACGUGUGCAUAUGUAGGUAACACAGUUGGGCCAAUUUUAAAACCCCUUUUAAUGUUGGCCCGUUGAUUGCUUGUGCUAUGCAUAACCAUGUCAAUUACAACAAUAGUUAAGUGAUAAUACUUCCCCACCAUAACUCCAUACCAUACAACAUUCGCAAUAAUCUCUAAUUAGCUUUAGAAAAAUAAUUCAUGAACUCCAUAGCUUGCUUUAGGCACGUAGUUAGAUUAUUACAACUACGUGUACAGUUCCUGUAAUGUGAUUGUAAUAAUUAAUUUUAAAUAAAAUUAAAAUAAGAGUACCUUUAGUUUGCCUUUAAAAUAUAUAUAACCCUUUUUCUUAAAAUAAUUUGAGGUGUGUCAUGCCUUAAAUCUAUAACACAUGGCCCUCGCAAAUUAAGAUCAAGAACUAAUUUUUCUUAAAAUAAUUUGGGGUGUGCCAUACACAAAUAAAAAUCGUUUAAUUUAUGACCCUCAUAUAAAUAUAAAAUUAGUAUAGAAAUUACCUUGAACUUUGGUAGUCUACUUAGGCGCGUUAAUUAAAUAAUUGUCAUAGCUACGGGUACGGUUCCCGUGACGUAGUUGUGAUGCCUAAUUACUACAAUUCGGGGGUACAUUUAUGUGACCCGUCCACAAUUUAAUUUUUAAAAAUUAAACAUAUUGUUGAUCGUUGAUACGGUUCCCGUGACAUGAUUCACUAUAUGUAACAAUAAUUAAAUAAAAGUGGUUAUAAGGUAAAAAAUGCACAAGAGAUUAAAACAUGUAAUAAAUCGAAUAAUAGGACAAUUUUAAUAAUUUAAGCGACUGUGUUAGAACCACGGAACCCGGGAAGGCCUAACACCUUCUCCCGGGUUAACAAAAUUCCUUAUCUAGAAUUUUUGUUUCGCGGACUUAUAAAGUAAAGUCGAAAUUUCCUUGAUUUGGGAUUUUAUAAGAAACAAGUGACUUGGGACACCAAAAUAAUUAUCCCAAGUGGCGACUUUAAAAAAAUAAAUUAAUUAAUUCCAUUUCGAAUAAUAUCACUUUAAUUGGAAAAACUCCAUUAUAUACCCUCGGGGUGUAAAAAAGGAGGUGUGACAGCUCUGGCGACUCUGCUGGGGCGAAGAACCCAGAACUUUUGGUUCAGGGUUCAGAAUUCGAGCUUGGAAUAACUGUUAUAUUUUGGCUUUAUUCAUUAUCUGAUUUUUGCAUAUUUGAGCCUGAUGUGCUAAAUGCCGCUUUGAUAUUAUUUGAAUUGUAUAUGAACUGUUACGAAACCCUUCUCUUCUCAUCUUCGGGGAUGUGCACGCUGGCGUGACUCCUCUUUCUGUUAGUGUCAUACCUUGAGGUAAGAAAGAGGCUCAGACAAGUUACAAAGCCGGAUGGCCUUUUGGUUCCCGGUAUGUAUCCCCCCCUUGGCUCGAGUUGACCGCUCGGAUACACAAGUCUAGAACAAUAUACACAGGUUUUUUAAACUUAGAAUAACUCAGCAUCAUGUCGGAUCCCUAGUAGUAACGUUUGUUUGCAUCAUGUGCAUUUGACUUUGGGAACUCAACACAGGGGUUGGGUCCGUCUAGGACAGGUGGACCCCAGAAUCAAAGACCAUCCCGAUGCAUAUUUUACGUGCUAGUUGUACAAUUAUUUGCUUCGGUUUGCAUGUUGACCGGUUUCGAGAAUAGGUAAGGAAUUGGGAAAAAUAAAAUUGAGGUAUGAGAGAAUUGAUUACCCGUCUUUGAAAAAAAAAUCUCGUAUCCAAAAUAGGUCGAAACUCUGCUGAAAUUUUGAAAAAAAAAAGAGAAAAGAAUUUGGUUUCAAAAGUUUCAAGUCUUUCUCUAUUCUAUUUUGUCAAAACUGACCGAACUAUGCAAGUUUUAUUCUCACCGGAUGUGGGAUACGUAGGCAACCUUCACCGGGUCCAACUCCAUUUUUGCAAAAAUAACCCAAAAAAUGAAAUGUUGUUAUUCUAUCUUAAAUAAAAUUAGGUAAUGUCGUUCUUGUUUGAAUAGCCCAAAAUGUCCCCAAAAGGACGCCGGAAGAUUGUUUUUGCAAGAAUAAUCACCUACUUACCUUUUUCAAAUUUUUGGCUACCUAGCAAGCACCGCCCUAAAAUCUUCCUUUUCAAAGUGCCGAAGGGCCGUAUUUGCGGAAGUAGCCGUGUUAUUUAAAUUUUUAUAAAAUUGACCUCUUUUGUAAAAUUCGCUUUAUUUUUAAACCAAUUACCUUAAUUUAAAUGUGCAGAAUGAGCACGAGUUAAAAUUUGCCAAUGACGGUCAUGACCAAUAUUCCUUUGGAACUGUAUAUGUGGUGGGAAGAUCUGGGUGAAUCAAGACAUUAUGUGGUCAACCUUUACUUGGGGGGUCUCACCGGGUUAUUGAAGAUCAGGCCUUUGAGGAGACAUAAUAAAGGCACUGGUUACGUUUUGGGAUCCAACUCACAACGUGUUUCAUUUCUCGGAUUUUGAACUCACGCCCACUUUGGAAGAGAUAGCUAGGUAUAUUGGAGGCACUGAAGCUCUGAGACACAAGUAUUUGGUCGCUCCAAGAGUUGUCACUCCACACAAGUUUCUAGAUUUACUAAAGAUAAGCAGGGGGUCCAAUACCCAGAUUUGGCAGCUGGUUUUUCCACUCCCAGUUUAUAUACCAGCGAUACGGACAAGGACGGGGUUUCAACAAUCCAGAAAGCAGAAUUUGCAGAAAAGGGAAUCGACUAAAAUGAGAAGAACACAUGUAUUUUUGGGUCUUCUAGUGUUUCCCAGGAAAUAUGGGAAUAUCGAUGUACGGAUAGCUGGAAUCAUCAACACUUUGCUUACUCAAGCCAAAAGUAUCCUCGCACCCAUGAUAGUGUCUAAAAUCUUCCAACUCUCACAGCCUGUAAAGCUGGAGGAGACUUUUUAGAAGGGUGCAACUUGGUGCUACAAAUGUGGAUGAUUGAGCAUCUAUUUCAUCGUCCUUAGUACAUGAACUAUGGGUCGAUAGGAAAAAGCUGCAUAGGGGAGUUUUAUACAAGGGUCGACGUGUUUAACAUGCCAGAAGGGGUUGUAAAAUGGAUCUCUUGCCUCCGCUCCGUCACUGCGAAUAAAAUAGAAUGGACGUUGGGUUGGCUUCAUGUUGAUGAAAUCAUAUACAUACCAGCUAUAGGUCCUCAUUUCCUCCUGAUGGGUCUUAGAAGUAUCCAGCCUUAUGCCUCAUACCGGGUUUUGAGACAGCUAGGGAGAUGUCAAAUAGUGCCCAAGUAUGAAGACCUUAUCCUUCAUGUGGUCGAGAUCUGUUCUAAUGGCCAGUUGUACGAAAGAGUGGUCUGACAGCAAAUACCCGAGUGUGUGAUCUAUCCAGAGGUGAAGUCUGUCCCGGUUACCUCGCUUGGUACAAAAGGAAAGUUGAGAUUUGGAGGCCAGCUAAAAGACCCCACCUCCAAAAGUUUAUCGGAGCAUCACAAAAAUAAUGCGAGUGGUUGAUAAAAGAAAAUGAAUAUCGGGCCACCAUAAGCAGGUUAGAAGGACAGAUCAGAGACCUCAAGUUUGCUAGUGAUGUGCAAGCUACUACAGAUGAGGGUGAGAAGAAAAAAUUAGCCCAAGAAAAUGAAAUCCUUCGGGCCUAGAUCCAAAGGAUGAAGAUAGCUGCAGAGAAUCCGGAAAGAAGCCGAGCAAAUGAAAAACUCAUUCAUGGCCUUAAGAAGAAAAUAUGUGAGUGUAGGGGAUGAUCUAGAAAAAUUCGAAGGCAGUUUGGCAAGAGCUAGAGCACAGUUGGCAAAGAACGCCGAGGGACGGGUAGAGUUUGUUCGAUAACUAAAAAGGAAAUACGAGGGAGAAGUCACAAACUUGAAGAAAAAGCUAACCACCCUCGAGAAUGAGAUGGCCAAACAAGCCAAGAGCUUCAAAGUCGAGACAGAACAUUGCUACGCUUUGAUGGCACAGCUAGAGGGAGGCAUACAACAUUUGCAAGAACAGAAUCAUACUGCCACUCAAGUCUUGGAGGCUAGAUCUCAGCAGAUUGGGCGUUUGUUGCAAGAAAAGAGCAUCAUCAGGGAAAGGGUUAGAAGAAUGGCUGACUAUAUCGUGAUGAAAUGCAACGAAUGUGAGGACAUGACCAGGUCCAUGUUCUUCGCCACAGUGAUGAUCUUUGUCCGCCAGAUAAUGGAGGAUCUCUAUCGCCUCCAAGAUGACAUGGCACAUAGUCCCGCAACAAGACCAUUUUUUUUAUUGGUGGAAUGUUUGAAAGUUUAUCUCUGGUCCCAUUUGGGGGUAAUGUUUUGAAAAAUCUUACCACUAGUCCAUUUUGGGGUUUUUUUGUAUAAGAUAACCGGGUUGGAACUAAGUUUAUACUUAGUUUUAACCAAGUUAUUAUAAAGUUUUUGUCUAACUCUUAUAAUAAUUUUAUUUUGAGUUUCUAUUCUACUCUCUUAGCGGUUUACCCUUGUCUUAUAAUUAUAGGUUUGGGCUUUAGAUCCCACCUAUUUCAAUAUUUGGGUUUUUGUUUUACCCUUUGUUAUUUUAACUUUUGCAUUUAAAAAUGCUUCGUGACUCUUUUGAAUAAGCACGAAUCAUAAAAGAGGGCCCUUUUAUAUACGACACUUAAUGAAGAAUAUAUCUCAACUUCAUAAUAGUGUAAACAUACGAAAGAAGAAAUAGGGACACACACGUUUCUUUGAAUAACUUUGAGGAAAGUUUUGUAUCAUUCCAACUUUCAAAUUAUAACUUUACAUGUAUUUAAGUAUCAUCUAUGACUCUUUCAUAAAUGUUUUCUUUACAACAGAUUUGUAAAAAAUUCAAGGAUAUAUCUUGCAACCCAUAAAUAAAUAUUGCCUUUAACCUAAACAUUAGUAAGAUUUUGAAAUUUACAUCCACGAGUGUAUUCUUCAUAGGUUUUUGAGUCAGGCUUGCGUUUUUGGCUCGCGACUUUGCUCUGAACUUUCGAUUUGUUGGGUAGACUUUAAGCUUGACUUGAAUUCUGAUUGUUCCAGUCUUAUUUGCCUUCCUUAUAUAUUUAUAGUCCCCCAAGUGUUUGAGCUUUGAAGUAUGAAAUCUUGAGCACUUGAUUAUUCCUUGCAUGUGGUCCUUCCUGAAAAGGGAAAAACGUACGGGACUCGGAGGUAUAUAUAAUUUAGAUGAUGACUGCUUAACCUUUAUAUUUCCAUCAGAAAGGUUAUAACCCUAGACCAAGAAUUAUGUUACUUCCGCAUGUCUUUCAAGUCUAAUAUCAUCAUUUGGUGUGGGCUAGCCUUUUGCCUAUCAUCUAAAAUUGUUAGUAUAAUUUUAACUGUACAAAAUAAAAAAUUGUAAUUGAGCGAUACCUGACCGUGGGUAUUUCUUUUGCAUUGAAAUAGUACUUCUUCAAAUGAACGGCAUUCCAACUGGAGGGUAGAACCUUGCCAUCCAUGGUUUCUAACUUGUAGGCCACCUUUUCCAACGAUACCUUAAAUCUUGUAAGGUCCUUCCCAGUUUGGACUCAACUUUCCUACAUUGGUUGCUUUCGUUGAUUAAAAAACUUUCUUGAGUACAAAAUCCCCAAUCUUGAAGUAACUAAGAUGAGCUUUCUUAUUGUAAUAUUGCUCAAUAAUUUGCUUCUGAGCAACCAUCCUUAUCAAGGUUGUUUCACUUCUUUCUUCAAACAAAUCGAGAUUUAUUCGCAUCUCCUCCUCAUUUGACUCUUCGGUUGCUUGGGUGUAUCUCGUACUUUGUUCACCUAUCUGAAUUGGAAUUAAGUCUUCAGCACCGUACACAAGGGAAAACGGUGUCUCUCCCAUACUCGCUUUUGCUGUUGUUCUGUAAGCCCACAAACUCUAGGUAACACUACUGGUCGUUUACCUUUUGACUCCUCUAGCCUUUUCUUCAAGUUAUAAUAAUAACUUUGUUUGUUGAUUCAGCUUGUCCAUUGGCCACAUGAUGAUAAGGUGUUGAAGUAAUCCUUUUAAUUUUCCAACUCUGAAAGAAUUAUGUGAUUUUUGCACCUAUGAACUGAUCACACACGAUUUCUUUUGGAACCCCAACAGACAUAUAAUGUUUCACCAAAUGAAGUCCCUGACUUUUUUUUCUUGCACCUGCUUCUAUCCACUUAGUAAAAUAAUCAGUUAGUACUAAUAAAAAUCGUACCUUUCCUUUGGCUUGUGGUAGUGGACACACAAUAUCCAUCCCCCACUUCAUAAAAGGCCACAGUGCAACAACCGGAUGUAAUACCUCUGUUGGUCGGUGCAUGUUGUUACCAUAUCUUUGGCACUUGUCACAUUUGUCCACAAAACUUUCUGCCUCUUCUUCCAUUUUUGGCGAGUAAUAUCCUACUCUAAUUAGAGUUUUUACCAAGGAUCUUCCUCCUGCUUGAUUUACACAAUGUUCUUCAUGUACAUCUCUCAUCACAUACUCUAUUUGAGAAGGUCCGAGAUACUUUGCUAAAGGACCACAAAAUAUUUUUCGAUAUAAAUUUCCUCGAUCCAAACAAUAACGACCAGCUUUAUGUCGAAGUACUUGAGCCUUUUUCUUAUCUUUAGGUAGAAUUCCAUACUGCAAAAUAUUGACGAUAUCGUUUCUCCAAUCCCAGGUUAAAUUAAUGAAAUUUACCUCGUUUUUAUCUUGGUCGAGUGCCGAAUGAAACAAAUGUAUUAUGGAAGCAUUUUUUUCAUUUGUUACUUCUGCAGUGGAUGCAAGAUUAGCCAACGCGUCUACUUCAACAUUUUCUUCCCUAGUUAUUUGCACGAUUUUCCAUGAUUGGAAUUGCCUGAUCAAAUCUUGUGUCUUUUCCAAAUAAUGCUACAUCCUCGCCUCUCUAGAUAUAUAAGUCCCUUGCAUUUGAUUAACUACGAGCAUCGAGUCGCUUUUGAUUAUAAUCAGCUCUAUUCCGAGAUCUCGUGCCAAUUCUAAACCUGCAAUCACAACUUCAUAUUUUGCUUCAUUAUUAGUAAUAGGAUGGCAAUUUAUGGCUUGCCUUAUAGUUUCUCCAUGGUGGGAUUAGAACAUUGCCUAAACCCGCUCCUUUAACAUUCGAGGAGCCAUCGGUAAAUAGGGUCCAAGUACCUGGAUUAAACCCAUUAAAUAUCUGCUGUUCUUUUUCUGUUUCUGUUACCAUCCCUAAGCUAAAGUCUGCCACGAAAUCUGCUAAAACCUAUGAUUUUAUCGGAGUUUUAGGUUAAUAUGUGAUAUCAUAUUCACUUAGUUCUAUGGCCCAUUUGGCUAACCUACCUGAUAACUCUUGCUUAUGUAAUAUAUUUCGUAAGUGGUAGGCGGUCACUACAGAAAUAGGGUGACAUUGAAAAUAAGGCCUUAAUUUUCUAGAUGCAAUAAUUAGUGCUAAAGCAAGUUUUUCUAAAUGAGGAUAUUGAGUUUCAGCAUCUAGUAAGGACUUGCUAACAUAAUAAAUUGGAGAUUGUUUACCUUUAUCUUCCCGAACUAACACUGCACUUACCACCAUUUCUGAUACGGCGAGAUAGAUGAGUAGCCUUUCACCAUCCUUUGGUUUUGCUAGCAACUAUGGGUUCGGCAAGUAUGUUUUCAGAUUUUUGAACGCUUGUUGGCAUUCUUCAGUCCAUUCAAAUUGGCUGCUUUUUCAAUACUGAAAGAACUUAAAGCUUUUCUCUGAAGAUUUAGAAAUAAAUCUUCCCAAUGCUGCUAUCCUACCUGUCAACCUCUGCACUUCAUUUUUGUUCGUGAGUAUAUCCGGUAUUUCUUCAAUAUCAUUAAUCUGCACUGGAUUUACUUCUAUUCCCCGAUUAGAAACUAGGAAACCUAAAAACUUACCUAAAGACACGCCAAAUGCACACUUUUCAGGAUUUAACUUCAUAUUGAAUUUGCGAAGAAUUUGAAAAGUAUCUAACAAAUAUUGGGUGUGAUCCCCACCUGUGCUAACUUGAUUAACAUGUCAUCAAUGUAGACUUUCAUGUUUUUCCCAGAUGUUCAUGAAACAUCUUUGUUACUAAAGGGCAUGACUUUAUAACAGUAAGUCCCCCUGUCUGUAAUGAAAGAAGUUUUUUCCUCAUCUGAAGGAUCCAUUUUUAUCUGAUUAUAUCCAGAAUAAGCAUCUAAAAAACUCAAUAAUUUGUGCCCUGCAUUAGCAUCAAUUAGUUGAUCUAUGUGUGGUAAAGGAAAAGAAUCUUUCGGGUAAGCUUUAUUUAAGUCAGUAUAAUCUACACAAACUCGCCACUUACCAUUCUUUUUGGGUACCACUACAGUAUUUGCUAGCCAAAUAGAAUAUUUUACCUCACGGAUAGACCAAAUUUUUAAAAGUUUUUGUACCUCAUCCUGAAUCACCUGGUUUAUGAAGGAUUCUCCGGUGGUAUACCUGUCAUAUCUUAAUGCGACCAAGCAAAGCAAUCUGUGUUAGCUUUAAAAAAUUCAAUUAACUUACUUUUCAUCUCUGGCUGAGGUUGGUUCCGAUGUAAACUUUUUUGUCUGUCCAAUGUAUAAACAAUACCACUGCUUCGAGUUCCUCAUUUAUUGUUUUGAUGUUUUCAUUCUCAUCUGGAUAUCUAAUAGUAUCAGGCCUUGAGUCUAUAUCCAUUUGUCCAUCUUCGGUUGAGGUUUGAGUUGUUAAACCCUUAACCAAAUUCUGUAAUUGCUAUUUCACAUCUGCAAUGUCAUUUUGUAUGCUUGAAUCCGCCACUGAAUUGAUACUUCUAGAAGCCUGCUGAUCAUUACGAAUUUGCCUAAUUCCUCAUUGUUAAGGGAACUUAAUAACAUGAUAUAAAUUAGAUGGAACAAAAUCCAUCUCGUGAAUCCAAGGUCUGCCGAGGAUAAUAUUAUACGCCAUAUCCAUAUUUAUUACUUAAAAUUUCAUAUUUUUAACUACUCAUUCUGCGAAUGUGGUGAGUAUUAUCUUCCUUUUUGUGACAACACUUAAAUUGUCAAAUCCAGAUAAGGUACAUGCUUUGGGUAUUAAUUUUUCAUCAACUUGCAUCUCGUUUACUACUCUUAAAAGAAUGAUAUUUACAGAGCUACCUGGAUCAAUUAAAACUCGUUUCACAUUAGUAUCAUAUACAAGUAAAGAUAUUACUAGUGCAUCAUUGUAUGGGAUCAACACGCCAUCUAUGUCUGCAUCAUCAAAUGUUAUUCUAUCUUCUUCUAAAACUUGGAAAACUCGUUUCUCGUGGGUGACUGUGAUUUUUGACACAUGUUUUGCAGCCGUAUAUGUCAUGCCAUUGACCUCCCCCCCUUCACUUAUGACAUUAACUUUUCUUUUUGGUGACGGAGGUUUUGGUGGCUCCUGUCUAUUCUUCAUAUAUGCUUGCUUACCCUUCUAACUAAACAAAUCAGUUAAGUAGCCUUGUUUUAAUAAGUGCUCUACUUCACCUUGUAGCAAUCUCCAAUCUGUUGUUUUGUGAUCGUGAUCAUAAUGAAAAUCACACUAGAAAUCAGGGUUUCUUCUAUUUGGGUGCGAUCUCAUUUCCUUUGGCCACCGCACCUUAUCUCCCAUGCUUCUUAAAACAGCUACCAACUCAAAUGUGCUAACAUUGAAACUGUAGCCACCAAUCUUUGCUUUUGAACUUCUACCGUUGUCCUGCAUAUCUCGCGUGUCUCGCUCAUUUCCAAACAUGGACGACGAACCCGAAUCUCUGUCUCUUAUUCUGGAAUUGUACCUCGGGUUCUCUUAUUUUGAAUGUGAAUCCCUUCCUGCUAGUCCCAUGUAAGGUUCAUACCUGUUCUUACCAGACCUUUUUUCAGUUUUUGGUCGCCUCAAACUUACUCUUUCAUCUCCCCAGGACUUAGUGAUAGUAUCUUCUUCUAUCUGUAGCUUCGUGCUAUACCUGUUGUAAACAUCAUUCCAAGUUGUUGCAUUGAAUUCUCGUAAGCUUUCUUUGAGUCUCCUUGUAGCUUCUGAGCUUUUUUCAUUUAGAUUACUUGCAAAUGCCAUAGUCGCCCAAUUAUUAGGUACACAUGGUAAUAUCAUUUUUUCAUGCUGAAAUCUAUCUACGAAUUCCCUGAGUAGCUCAGUAUCACCUUGUUUUAUUUUGAAGAUGUCUUCCAUCCUCUUUUCAACUUUUUAACCUCCCGAGUGUGCUUUUAUAAAUGAAUCUGCAAGCUUAGCAAAGAAUCAAUAGAAUUUUCAGGUAAAAGAGAAUACCAUGUUAGUACUCCCUUUGUGAGUGUUUCACCAAAUGUUUGACUAGAACCGAUUCAAUCUCUUGCUUGGUCAAGUCAUUGCCCUUCACGCCAGUUGUAUAUGCAGUUAAAUGAUCUCGUGGAUCGGUUUUCCCAUCAUACUUUGGGAUAUCGGGCAUCUUAAACUUUUUUGGAAUAGGCAAAGGAGCGGCACUUGGCUUCCAGGGUUGUUGAGAAUAUUUAUUCAUAUCCACUCCUUUGAUUAUAGGUGGAACACUAGGUAUUUGAUCUAUGUGAUCGUUCUGCUCCUUGAGAUGUUUCUGUAAAGUUAGUACUAAACUUUGUAAAUCAAAAUUAAUUGGGAUACCUGACCCUCUAUCGCGAGAUUCACUGGGAGUUCCUCCGUUGCCUAAAUUAGUGAGUCCUGAAUGUGGAUACUCUAUGGUUGCGGUGUUGUUUGUAUGCAGAGUUGGUGGUACAGUUGGUAAUCCGCUACUGAAAGCUUGAAGAGCAUUGUUCACAUGUUCUACAAUUAGUUGCUUCAAUGCAUCAUCAACAUUUUGUCUUGUUGAUUAUUCACAUGUGAUGUUGAUCUGUCAGGUGAGUUGUCUCAGGAGUGUCGAGGCAAAUUUUGAGGCAAUGGGAUUGGGGUGGCAUUUUCUUGUUGAUUUUGUUGGUUCAGCUGGUCUUGCUGGUUUUAUUGGUUUUGUAGGUUUCGUUGGUUGUUGUUGUUAACAUUUGACAUUAUUUUUUGACAGAAAAAUGAAUUUGGAAAGUGAAAAGAUUAUUAAUUUCCUUGUAACAGAACUAAUUUGUUUAACCAAAAAUAGGAAUUUCGGUCAAA